GAUUGUUAAAGGAGUAUUUGUUGUUUCUUCUACUUUUCUGAAGUAGAGCUGAUACCACCACCAACCAACCCCCCAAAAUAAGCCAACUGUGGGAUUCUGGAGAAGAAUUACUUGGUGAGCAAAGUAAGCCAGUAAGGUUGUGAUGCAGGGAAAGUCCCUUUACCAUGUUUACAGAGGAACUCUGUGAGGAUGACUGCGGUGUCAGUGCACACAUACAUGCCCUAGGCCUGUGGAAUAUCUGUGUGAAGAUCAUGUUUGCCACUACAAUCUUUCUUCCUGACCCAAGAAGAACUAUUGGAGGGUCAGAAAAACACCCAGCCCCUUCCUGCUUCUAGCCUUCCUGCUCUGUAUCCACACAGCCAAAGCCACAAAACAAGCAAUCAACAAACAAAAACAGAAUAGGCCCUACCCUGACAGAAUGAAAGUAUAUGAUUAUCUUUUCCCAAAUACAAGAGAAUAAUCUUCCACCCAGCUCUUAAAGAGAAAACUUUCCUUCUACAGCCACAGCUGUUUGGGUUGGUGUUGCUUAAAAUUUGAAUAUAAUCAACAACCCUUGUCCCAGUCCCUAGAAGCCUUCAAGUGCCAAUGAUUGCCUUGGUUGAGAUUGAGAGAUCACUUCAGAAAACGUAGUACUAAGGAAGUAUUUCUGUAAGUGCUUGCGAGUAAAUACAAAUUAAACAAGAUUUAUUAAACCGAGACUUAAAGCAAUUUUACUAUGUACCUGAGUCGAGGAUCUACUCAUCUUUCUAGUCUCAGGUGAAAGACCUCUUCUUCCAGGAAGCCCUCAGGACUUUAGGAUAUGCUUGUUGUCUCUGCUCUGUGCUCCCAUAUCCUCCUCGGUAUCUCCCAUCACAGCCCUGCACCUGCCCUGUCACCAUCCUUACCACAUAUGUGCAUUAUGGCUGCUCUACCAGCCUGUUUCCCCGUUACACAGCAGGGCCUAGACUGUACCUGAUGCUUUUACCACUGAGCCCCUCAACACAGUAGAACCCAAUAAACAUCCAGAAGACCAUGAUAAAUAAACACAUCAUCAAUUAACUCAUUACUGUGGAACCCAAGUCUAGACAGCUGUUUCAUUGAGGCCAUGGAAGAACAUCCAGCUUUAGUCCUUAGACGAAAGAAACUUGAAACGUGCGGUAGAAAUGUAUCAUAUUCUUCAAGUCUCACUCCCUGGGCUAGAAGAGAUCUUUAAGAGGUCUUUUAGGAACCUCUCCAACUCAAGAACUGAUGUGCCUAAGGGGAAGUCUAACAGAGGACACACUGCCAUUUGGGAAAUUCUGACCUUCCUACAUAGUUGUAAUAUGGACAUCUUCUGCUCUUUUUCUCUGGGUUUAAUUGAGGAGCAAGGCAAUGAAGAUGACAAGAGGUAUCAUCCAGAUGUAUCACCUUCAAAAUUCAGAUGUUGAAACUUAAUGGCCAAUGUGAUGGUAUUAAGAGGUAGGGUUUUUGAGAAGUAACUAAAUUAUGAAGGCUUCUCCCCCAUCAUGAAUGAGACUAAGGCCCUUAUAAAAGAGGAUGCACUGUUCAAGGCACCAUCUUGGAAGCAAAGACUGAAUCCUUGCAACAAACCUUUCAGCUCCCUGAUCCUUGUUCCCAGCCUCCAGAACGAUGAGCAAUAAAUUUCUGUUCAUUAUAAAUGACACAUACCAGGUAUUUUAUUAUAGCAGCACAGAUAGACUAAGACCGAUGUCUUCAGCUCUCCUCUUUUGGGUUGAGUUGCGAGGCAAUCUUGAUGAACAGAACCCAAGCUUUGGAGCCAGACAGGCUAAGGCGAGAUCUUCAUUUUCAGCAUUUCUGGCAAAUCGCUUAACCUCUCUGGGUAUGUUUUCACAGCUAUAAAUGGGAGUAACUACUACUUUUCAGAGUUGUGGGAGAAAUAGAGAUUACACUUGGAAAGUGUCAAUGGCUGCUUUUAUUAUAAGUGACUUGCCAGCAAACUUAUACCUGCAACGGAUGGGAUCGUACCAUUACAGAAGUCACCCACCAGGUGGCAAAACUGAAACCUAGGCAGGAGAAGGGACAGAACCACGACAAGGAGUCCUAAAACCAAGACCUCCUGACUGGGCUGAGGACCCACUGAAAUUGACACACAAGGCAAAUGCCAGAGGAAG
Callithrix jacchus (white-tufted-ear marmoset) is the source of this 2111-nucleotide non-coding RNA. NCBI's taxonomy places the organism in Eukaryota, Metazoa, Chordata, Mammalia, Primates, Cebidae. The record is from RefSeq and is a predicted model, not a curated record.